RNAcentral lists this ribosomal RNA (492 nucleotides) under uncultured bacterium. RNAcentral describes it as "partial 16S ribosomal RNA". It matches the Rfam family "Bacterial small subunit ribosomal RNA", at positions 29 to 507 of the family's 1533-position model. The record is from RNAcentral.
AGUGAACGCUGGCGGUAGGCCUAACACAUGCAAGUCGAACGGCAGCACAGUAAGAGCUUGCUCUUACGGGUGGCGAGUGGCGGACGGGUGAGGAAUACAUCGGACUCUACUUUUUCGUGGGGGAUAACGUAGGGAAACUUACGCUAAUACCGCAUACGACCUACGGGUGAAAGCAGGGGAUCUUCGGACCUUGCGCGAUUGAAUGAGCCGAUGUCGGAUUAGCUAGUUGGCGGGGUAAAGGCCCACCAAGGCGACGAUCCGUAGCUGGUCUGAGAGGAUGAUCGGCCACCCUGGAGCUGGACCGCGGUCCAGGCUCCUACGGUAGGCAGCAGUCGGGAAUAUUGGACAAUGGGCGCAAGCCUGAUCCAGCCAUCCCGCGUGUGUGAAGAAGGCCUUCGGGUUGUAAAGCCCUUUUGUUGGUAAAGAAAAGCAGCAGGUUAAUACCCCGCUGUUCUGACGGUACCCAAAGAAUAAGCACCGGCUAACUUCGUG